CCCGUUAACCAUACAUCUCGAGCUCCCCAUUCUUCUUCAUCUCUUUUCUUUAUCUGCCUCUCUCUCCCUCUCUUCUUUUCUCUUUUGCCAAUCAAAGAUUCUUCCAUAUGGAUCUGCAGAGUUCUGAUGAGUGUUAUUGAUAUUUGGUUGUCCCUGUUCAAAGAGAGAUGGGGAGAAUAAGAAAUUAGGGUUUCAGUGAUCGAUGGAUUUCAAAAAAUUAGGGUUUCAAUGAAGUAGUGAAAACGAAGGGAAAAAAUUAGCUGAAGUCUUGAGUAUAGAGAAAUGAAAGCCAGAAAAGGAUGAUUUAGAUCUUCAUCUUUCUAGGAUGAGCUGUUGCUGCUGAGUGGUUGAAAUGGGUCGAUAUAAUACAGAACAAACAAAUUUCAGUAAUCUAAGAAAACCAACUAAAUUCCCCCAAUUUUAUUAGGGUAUAAGGUUCGGCAGUAUGGGGAAGGGGAAGAUAUCACCUAAAUUUGUAGUCAUGAAGAGAUUAAUAAGCUCUAAAAUGAUCAAAAAUUUUUUGAAUUUAGGACAAAAGAGGAUAUUCUAAACCCUAGAAAGAAUGAUCUUCAGAAGGAAAAAUUACCCUGAAACGUGCCUCAAGUAUAAUCAGCUCUGUUCUUUAAACAUAGUAGUGUAUUGGGUCCUCCUGAUAGGGUUUUGGUUGAUACCAACUUUGUCAAUUUCUCUAUUCAGAACAAGUUGGAUUUGGAAAAGGCAAUGACAGAUUGCUUGUAUGCAAAAUGUGAGUCUUCUUCUUUUGCUCGAUAUACUUGAAUGGUACUCUGUGAUAUUUAUUGUGUCUGACUGGUUUGAUAUGCUUGUUUGUUUUACAUCGACUCAUUUGUGAUGGGAUGAAUUGGUGAUGGUUAUCGACAAAAAUUGCAAGGAUGAGCUGUUGCUGCAGAGUGGUUGAAAUCGAUUUUGGUGAUGUUAUGCUGAUGGGUUUGCUUGUAGAGGCGUGUAUUCUUGUGAUUAGUCAAUAAUUACUUCAGACUUGGACACAGAACCAUGGCUUAUCUUGUGAGGAUGACGAAGAGCGAGCAAGUCGUAGAGUGUACAGAGGCUGCUUUCAUUCUCAAACAUGUAGUGGCUGCACACGUGUGUUUGCUUCGGGUGUGAUUUGCGCCGGUUUUCAGACUGCAAUUGUCAGACUUGCACUGAUUUCACAACGAAUGCUAAACCUUAAAUCUUCAUAGUAAACUGUUUCCAAGACAAGGUAUUAUUUCCUUUUUGUCUUUUGGGCGGGUAUGGUUGCUAUGGCAUUGGGCUGUUCUUAUGCACAGAGCUUAAUAAAAAAAGUUACAAAAAUAUGACCAGUUGUAAUCUAUGACUAACUGUUACUAAUCGUUUCAGUAUUUUGUUGUAGGAUUUGUUAGUUGGGUUCUAUAUUACUUAUUGUAAUCUAUUUCCCUUUGUCUCAGUAGUGAGUUGUUUAUUGUGGUUCA
Long non-coding RNA from Papaver somniferum (opium poppy), 1448 nucleotides. RefSeq lists it as uncharacterized. NCBI's taxonomy places the organism in Eukaryota, Viridiplantae, Streptophyta, Magnoliopsida, Ranunculales, Papaveraceae. The record is from RefSeq and is a predicted model, not a curated record. The transcript has 6 exons.